GAGCUUGUAGCUCAGUGGAUUAGAGCGUGUGGCUACGGACCACAAGGUCAGGGGUUCGACUCCCUUCUGGCUCA
RNAcentral lists this transfer RNA (74 nucleotides) under Apicomplexa sp. corallicolid ex Leiopathes glaberrima. RNAcentral's name for it is "tRNA-Arg". It matches the Rfam family "tRNA". From Rfam's summary of the family: Transfer RNA (tRNA) molecules are approximately 80 nucleotides in length. The record is from RNAcentral. Lineage: Eukaryota; Apicomplexa.